GAGUUUGAUCAUGGCUCAGGACGAACGCUGGCGGCGUGCCUAAUACAUGCAAGUAGAACGCUGAAGAGAGGAGCUUGCUCUUCUUGGAUGAGUUGCGAACGGGUGAGUAACGCGUAGGUAACCUGCCUUGUAGCGGGGGAUAACUAUUGGAAACGAUAGCUAAUACCGCAUAACAAUAGGUGACACAUGUCAUUUAUUUGAAAGGGGCAAUUGCUCCACUACAAGAUGGACCUGCGUUGUAUUAGCUAGUAGGUGAGGUAACGGCUCACCUAGGCGACGAUACAUAGCCGACCUGAGAGGGUGAUCGGCCACACUGGGACUGAGACACGGCCCAGACUCCUACGGGAGGCAGCAGUAGGGAAUCUUCGGCAAUGGGGGCAACCCUGACCGAGCAACGCCGCGUGAGUGAAGAAGGUUUUCGGAUCGUAAAGCUCUGUUGUAAGUCAAGAACGAGUGUGAGAGUGGAAAGUUCACACUGUGACGGUAGCUUACCAGAAAGGGACGGCUAACUACGUGCCAGCAGCCGCGGUAAUACGUAGGUCCCGAGCGUUGUCCGGAUUUAUUGGGCGUAAAGCGAGCGCAGGCGGUUUGAUAAGUCUGAAGUUAAAGGCUGUGGCUCAACCAUAGUUCGCUUUGGAAACUGUCAAACUUGAGUGCAGAAGGGGAGAGUGGAAUUCCAUGUGUAGCGGUGAAAUGCGUAGAUAUAUGGAGGAACACCGGUGGCGAAAGCGGCUCUCUGGUCUGUAACUGACGCUGAGGCUCGAAAGCGUGGGGAGCGAACAGGAUUAGAUACCCUGGUAGUCCACGCCGUAAACGAUGAGUGCUAGGUGUUGGAUCCUUUCCGGGAUUCAGUGCCGCAGCUAACGCAUUAAGCACUCCGCCUGGGGAGUACGACCGCAAGGUUGAAACUCAAAGGAAUUGACGGGGGCCCGCACAAGCGGUGGAGCAUGUGGUUUAAUUCGAAGCAACGCGAAGAACCUUACCAGGUCUUGACAUCCCGAUGCUAUUUCUAGAGAUAGAAAGUUACUUCGGUACAUCGGUGACAGGUGGUGCAUGGUUGUCGUCAGCUCGUGUCGUGAGAUGUUGGGUUAAGUCCCGCAACGAGCGCAACCCCUAUUGUUAGUUGCCAUCAUUCAGUUGGGCACUCUAGCGAGACUGCCGGUAAUAAACCGGAGGAAGGUGGGGAUGACGUCAAAUCAUCAUGCCCCUUAUGACCUGGGCUACACACGUGCUACAAUGGUUGGUACAACGAGUUGCGAGUCGGUGACGGCAAGCUAAUCUCUUAAAGCCAAUCUCAGUUCGGAUCGUAGGCUGCAACUCGCCUACAUGAAGUCGGAAUCGCUAGUAAUCGCGGAUCAGCACGCCGCGGUGAAUACGUUCCCGGGCCUUGUACACACCGCCCGUC
RNAcentral lists this ribosomal RNA (1405 nucleotides) under uncultured bacterium. Its description in RNAcentral is "bacterial SSU rRNA". It matches the Rfam family "Bacterial small subunit ribosomal RNA". The record is from RNAcentral.